AAUGACCUACGGGGGGCAGCAGUAGGGAAUAUUGCUCAAUGGGGGAAACCCUGAAGCAGCAACGCCGCGUGGAGGAUGAAGGUUUUAGGAUUGUAAACUCCUUUUGUUAGAGAAGAUUAUGACGGUAUCUAACGAAUAAGCACCGGCUAACUCCGUGCCAGCAGCCGCGGUAAUACGGAGGGUGCAAGCGUUACUCGGAAUCACUGGGAGUAAAGAGUGCGUAGGCGGGGUAAUAAGUCAGAUGUGAAAUCAUGUAGCUCAACU
This 264-nucleotide ribosomal RNA is filed under the name uncultured bacterium. RNAcentral's name for it is "partial 16S ribosomal RNA". It matches the Rfam family "Bacterial small subunit ribosomal RNA", at positions 333 to 614 of the family's 1533-position model. The record is from RNAcentral.